CUAGCAACUCCACAGAGAGAGCUCUCUGCACGUGCCACAAAGUGUCAGUUGGUGGAGUUGAGAGAACAAAGUUUGAGAGAGAUGUGGAAACCUUAAGCGGUAGGCCCCGGAGCCAUAGCAAGAGAGUGAGGAGCAGUAUGGGAAAGUGUAUCACAAUGGCUUUUUAGAGCAGAGUCCCAGGCUCAUCCAUUGCCUCCUCCCAUUGCUGACAGUGACCUCAGCUGUACUUUGCAAGAACAACUCUCCCAGGCACAUCUCAAACUAAUAUUUAAUUAUGAUACUACAGCUCAAAUAAAGUGUCAUAACACUUAUCAAUACAGAAAAUGAACAGAGACCGAGGAAGAGUAUGGGAGAUGUGCUAUCCAGUCGACUGCCCUGGUGUGUCACUUAUUCAGCAAUUUGCUGUGAUGAUUUUUUUUAGGAAGUAAAAUGCAGUAUCUGAAGUCUGUUCAUAUGCAGAAAAUAAAAUUAAUUUUAUUCUGUU
Rattus norvegicus (Norway rat) is the source of this 484-nucleotide long non-coding RNA. RefSeq lists it as uncharacterized. The record is from RefSeq and is a predicted model, not a curated record. Lineage: Eukaryota; Metazoa; Chordata; Mammalia; Rodentia; Muridae.